This 253-nucleotide ribosomal RNA is filed under the name uncultured bacterium. RNAcentral describes it as "partial 16S ribosomal RNA". It matches the Rfam family "Bacterial small subunit ribosomal RNA", at positions 524 to 776 of the family's 1533-position model. The record is from RNAcentral.
UACGGGGGGGGCAAGCGUUGUUCGGAAUUACUGGGCGUAAAGGGCUCGUAGGUGGCCAACUAAGUCAGACGUGAAAUCCCUCAGCUUAACUGGGGAACUGCGUCUGAUACUGGAUGGCUUGAGUUUGGGAGAGGGAUGCGGAAUUCCAGGUGUAGCGGUGAAAUGCGUAGAUAUCUGGAGGAACACCGGUGGCGAAGGCGGCUCUCUGGGACGGUACUGACGCUGAGACGCGAAAGCGUGGGGAGCGAACAGG